This 313-nucleotide unclassified non-coding RNA is filed under the name uncultured fungus. Its description in RNAcentral is "partial contains small subunit ribosomal RNA, internal transcribed spacer 1, and 5.8S ribosomal RNA". The stretch from base 1 to 73 matches the Rfam family "Eukaryotic small subunit ribosomal RNA", at positions 1759 to 1831 of the family's 1831-position model. The record is from RNAcentral. Lineage: Eukaryota; Fungi.
GCAAACUUGGUCAUUUAGAGGAAGUAAAAGUCGUAACAAGGUUUCCGUAGGUGAACCUGCGGAAGGAUCAUUAACAAGGAAGAGGGUGCCCUACCGGUGCCCUUGCCCACCCGUGUCUACUGUACCUCUUGUUGCCUCAGCGGGCCCGUCAGCCCCUGUUAGGGGAUGGCCGUUGGCGUCCAAAAGCGCUUACCAGCGCCCGCUCGAGGGUAUCUCAGAACCUCUGUAUAGUGUGUACGUCUGAGCGGCAUGCAAAUCAGUCAAAACUUUCAACAACGGAUCUCUUGGUUCUGGCAUCGAUGAAGAACGCAGC